GGCUGACACGUGGUGCCUUCAGGCUCUGGGGCCUAGGACCUUUGUGGUAGCAGAGUCAGUGCAGAGAACCAGACAAUACCAGGUUGCUUAUUGAAGGAUGCCAUGUGCUUGCUGGAGGUCUCAGGUGCAACCAAAUUGCUUGCAGCUAGGAGGACCUUGAAGAGAAAUGGAACCAGUCUGCCAAACCAAGAAGGGUUAGCACUUUCGCUAGGAAAGCUGACCACGCACGAACAGAUGAGAACCAAAAUCGAGUGAAGAGGAUUGAAGAUGAACCUACAUUUUAAAAGUUCUUGUCUGCUGGAGGUGGCAUUACCUGUGACCUCGCUUCACUUCUCCAUACAUGGCUGUUAUAGCAGAAAAGCCAGCUUUCUGAAGCACAUUUAAUGACAUAUGAUGAGACUUAUGUGAUGUGAGACCUGAGAAAACUAUGAUAGAAAGAAGCAACUCAAGCUGCAAGGAUAUUCCUCAUGUAUCAUGCAAGGAUAUUCCUCAUGUAUCAUGUUGCUCUGCUCCUGGGUCCAAGCUAUUCUCCUGCCUCAGCCUCCCAAGAAGCUGAAACUACAGGAACACACAACUACCUGGCUUGCAAAUACCACUGCUAAUAAGAAGAUAUUGUAAAUCUGAUACCUAAGAGA
This is a long non-coding RNA of Piliocolobus tephrosceles (Ugandan red Colobus), 635 nucleotides long. RefSeq lists it as uncharacterized. The transcript has 3 exons. The record is from RefSeq and is a predicted model, not a curated record. Lineage: Eukaryota; Metazoa; Chordata; Mammalia; Primates; Cercopithecidae.